AGAGUUUGAUCCUGGCUCAGAACGAACGCUGGCGGCAGGCUUAACACAUGCAGUCGAGCGCCUCGCAAGAGGAGCGGCAGACGGGUGAGUAACGCGUGGGAAUCUACCCAUCUCUACGGAACAACUCCGGGAAACUGGAGCUAAUACCGUAUACGUCCUUCGGGAGAAAGAUUUAUCGGAGAUGGAUGAGCCCGCGUUGGAUUAGCUAGUUGGUGGGGUAAUGGCCUACCAAGGCGACGAUCCAUAGCUGGUCUGAGAGGAUGAUCAGCCACACUGGGACUGAGACACGGCCCAGACUCCUACGGGAGGCAGCAGUGGGGAAUAUUGGACAAUGGGCGCAAGCCUGAUCCAGCCAUGCCGCGUGAGUGAUGAAGGCCCUAGGGUUGUAAAGCUCUUUCAACGGUGAAGAUAAUGACGGUAACCGUAGAAGAAGCCCCGGCUAACUUCGUGCCAGCAGCCGCGGUAAUACGAAGGGGGCUAGCGUUGUUCGGAAUUACUGGGCGUAAAGCGCACGUAGGCGGAUUGUUAAGUUAGGGGUGAAAUCCCAGGGCUCAACCCUGGAACUGCCUUUAAUACUGGCAAUCUCGAGUCCGAGAGAGGUGAGUGGAAUUCCGAGUGUAGAGGUGAAAUUCGUAGAUAUUCGGAGGAACACCAGUGGCGAAGGCGGCUCACUGGCUCGGUACUGACGCUGAGGUGCGAAAGCGUGGGGGAGCAAACAGGAUUAGAUACCCUGGUAGUCCACGCCGUAAACUAUGAGAGCUAGCCGUCGGCAAGUUUACUUGUCGGUGGCGCAGCUAACGCAUUAAGCUCUCCGCCUGGGGAGUACGGUCGCAAGAUUAAAACUCAAAGGAAUUGACGG
RNAcentral lists this ribosomal RNA (859 nucleotides) under Mesorhizobium sp. E2R24_pA. Its description in RNAcentral is "bacterial SSU rRNA". It matches the Rfam family "Bacterial small subunit ribosomal RNA", at positions 8 to 916 of the family's 1533-position model. Lineage: Bacteria; Pseudomonadati; Pseudomonadota; Alphaproteobacteria; Hyphomicrobiales; Phyllobacteriaceae. The record is from RNAcentral.